GGUUAAGCGACUAAGCGUACACGGUGGAUGCCCUGGCAGUCAGAGGCGAUGAAGGACGUGCUAAUCUGCGAAAAGCGCCGGCGAGGUGAUAUGAACCUUUGACCCGGCGAUGUCCGAAUGGGGAAACCCAGUGCAAUUCGUUGCACUAUCGUUAACUGAAUACAUAGGUUAACGAGGCGAACCGGGGGAACUGAAACAUCUAAGUACCCCGAGGAAAAGAAAUCAACCGAGAUUCCCCCAGUAGCGGCGAGCGAACGGGGAGCAGCCCAGAGUCUGAAUCAGCUUGUGUGUUAGUGGAAGCGUCUGGAAAGUCGCACGGUACAGGGUGACAGUCCCGUACACGAAAGCACACAGGUUGUGAACUCGAAGAGUAGGGCGGGACACGUGGUAUCCUGUCUGAAUAUGGGGGGACCAUCCUCCAAGGCUAAAUACUCCUGACUGACCGAUAGUGAACCAGUACCGUGAGGGAAAGGCGAAAAGAACCCCGGCGAGGGGAGUGAAAAAGAACCUGAAACCGUGUACGUACAAGCAGUGGGAGCACCUUCGUGGUGUGACUGCGUACCUUUUGUAUAAUGGGUCAGCGACUUAUAUUCUGUAGCAAGGUUAACCGUAUAGGGGAGCCGAAGGGAAACCGAGUCUUAACUGGGCGUUAAGUUGCAGGGUAUAGACCCG
This 672-nucleotide ribosomal RNA is filed under the name Enterobacter asburiae. RNAcentral's name for it is "partial 23S ribosomal RNA". It matches the Rfam family "Bacterial large subunit ribosomal RNA", at positions 1 to 717 of the family's 2925-position model. The record is from RNAcentral. Lineage: Bacteria; Pseudomonadati; Pseudomonadota; Gammaproteobacteria; Enterobacterales; Enterobacteriaceae.